This 373-nucleotide ribosomal RNA is filed under the name uncultured organism. RNAcentral describes it as "bacterial SSU rRNA". It matches the Rfam family "Bacterial small subunit ribosomal RNA", at positions 526 to 896 of the family's 1533-position model. The record is from RNAcentral.
CGUAGGUGGCAAGCGUUGUCCGGAAUUAUUGGGCGUAAAGCGCGCGCAGGCGGUCCUUUAAGUCUGAUGUGAGAGCCCACGGCUCAACCGUGGAGGGUCAUUGGAAACUGGGGGACUUGAGUACAGAAGAGAAGAGUGGAAUUCCACGUGUAGCGGUGAAAUGCGUAGAGAUGUGGAGGAACACCAGUGGCGAAGGCGACUCUUUGGUCUGUAACUGACGCUGAGGCGCGAAAGCGUGGGGAGCAAACAGGAUUAGAUACCCUGGUAGUCCACGCUGUAAACGAUGAGUGCUAAGUGUUAGAGGGUUUCCGCCCUUUAGUGCUGCAGCUAACGCAUUAAGCACUCCGCCUGGGGGAGUACGGCCGCAAGGCUG